GUUUAUACCUGAUGGAGAUCACCUGGGAAGGCAGACAAAGCCAUCCUACACGUUUCUCUGCCUCCCCUGGCUUGCACCAGGGGGGCUCAUGAAGCUGAGAUCUGACAUGACCACAGGUGGAUUUUGCUUCCAGUGAAGAUGGUAUAAGGCAUAAACUGCAAAGGGGUGAUCUGCCCCCAACUCUACCAGCCUCACUGCUGAGGGACAGGAAAACUCAGCUCUGGCUCAUUAUGGACUUGAUGGUAUCUACUUUGCUGGGUGCUCAUGCAAUAACAAGCAGACCCUGGAAAGCUGGCAAAUGGUGGGGGAUGAGAAGUGUUUCUCUGUGGAGCUGAAGCUCUGGUGCUCUCCGAGUGUGCAUGAUAAAACCUUGACUGCACCCCAGGCAGGGCAGGGAUUCCUCAGGUCCAUGGAUGAACAGAAAAUCACACCUGUGGGCAGAAGCUGAGCCCUGAAAAGCUGCCUCAGGCUUCCUCCAACAUUAACUUCCUGAAUUAAACUCAACCUCAGUUUUUAUACUAUUCUUGCCACCUUUUUUCUUUCAGUUGACUUGAGUAGAUUAAUUUCAAAAAGUAAAAUAAAAUAAAUAGUG
Molecule: long non-coding RNA, 592 nt
Filed under: Parus major (Great Tit)
Lineage: Eukaryota; Metazoa; Chordata; Aves; Passeriformes; Paridae
Description: lncRNA (ENSPMJG00000004529.1)
Source: RNAcentral